CGGCGGACGGGUGAGUAACACGUGGGUAACCUACCUAUAAGACUGGGACAACUUCGGGAAACCGGAGCUAAUACCGGAUAAGAUAUCGAACCGCAUGGUUCGACAGUGAAAGAUGGUUUUGCUAUCACUUAUAGAUGGACCCGCGCCGUAUUAGCUAGUUGGUGAGGUAACGGCUCACCAAGGCAACGAUACGUAGCCGACCUGAGAGGGUGAUCGGCCACACUGGAACUGAGACACGGUCCAGACUCCUACGGGAGGCAGCAGCG
This 266-nucleotide ribosomal RNA is filed under the name uncultured Staphylococcus sp. Its description in RNAcentral is "partial 16S ribosomal RNA". It matches the Rfam family "Bacterial small subunit ribosomal RNA", at positions 96 to 356 of the family's 1533-position model. Lineage: Bacteria; Bacillati; Bacillota; Bacilli; Caryophanales; Staphylococcaceae. The record is from RNAcentral.